RNAcentral lists this ribosomal RNA (253 nucleotides) under uncultured bacterium. RNAcentral describes it as "partial 16S ribosomal RNA". It matches the Rfam family "Bacterial small subunit ribosomal RNA", at positions 524 to 776 of the family's 1533-position model. The record is from RNAcentral.
UACGUAGGUGGCGAGCGUUGUCCGGAUUUACUGGGCGUAAAGGGCGUGCAGGCGGUUUGUUAAGUGCAGGGUGAAAGCUCCCGGCUCAACUGGGAGAGGUCCUUGCAUACUGGCGAACUCGAGGGAGGCAGAGGAAAGUGGAAUUCCCGGUGUAGUGGUGAUAUGCGCAGAUAUCGGGAAGAACACCCGUGGCGAAGGCGGUUCUCUGGGACGGUACUGACGCUGAGACGCGAAAGCGUGGGGAGCGAACAGG